GACGAACGCUGGCGGCGUGCUUAACACAUGCAAGUCGAACGGUGAAGCUCCAGCUUGCUGGAGUGGAUCAGUGGCGAACGGGUGAGUAACACGUGAGCAACCUGCCCCAGACUCUGGAAUAAGCGCUGGAAACGGCGUCUAAUACUGGAUACGAGAUCAAGCAGCAUGGUUAUGGUCUGGAAAGUUGUGCGGUGUGGGAUGGGCUCGCGGCCUAUCAGCUUGUUGGUGAGGUAAUGGCUCACCAAGGCGACGACGGGUAGCCGGCCUGAGAGGGCGACCGGCCACACUGGGACUGAGACACGGCGCAGACUCCUACGGGAGGCAGCAGUGGAGAAUAUUGCACAAUGAGCGAAAGCCUGAUACAGCGACGCCGCGUGAGGGAUGACGGCCUUCGGGUUGUAAACCUCUUUCAGCAGAGAAAAAGCGAAAGUGACGGUACCUACAGAAGAAGCACCGGCUAACUACGUG
RNAcentral lists this ribosomal RNA (468 nucleotides) under uncultured bacterium. Its description in RNAcentral is "partial 16S ribosomal RNA". It matches the Rfam family "Bacterial small subunit ribosomal RNA", at positions 28 to 507 of the family's 1533-position model. The record is from RNAcentral.